AAAUAAUUUGAAAUAUAUGAAUAUACAUGUUCUCCAGUGACUGGUAAGUCUCUUAACUACCAAAAUUAGAUCAAAAACUCUUAGUAACCUCCGUUUAUACUUCCACAAUAAUCACCAGCUAUUUCAAGAAUGUUCUUCAAGUCAUGAGUCCAUAAGAUUUUUAAAUGAUUUCAUAUUUUUGGAUACAUUUUUACAUUUAUUUUUAUUUCUACCUUGAUUAGAAAUUUGCACAAAAAUAAACAACAAGCCGACACUCAUAGGUAUUUGGCGACAUUUUCUGCAUAUUUAUUUUUUAAAAUAAUUUUGACUGUACAAUUGAUUGUGUAUGCUUAUGUUUGGCUAUGCAUUACCAGCAAGACAAAGCUGAAUUUGUGCCGGUUGCUUAAAUGGCUAAUGAGGAAUGGACAUCAAUCUAUAAAAAGCAGCAUGUAGAAAGCUGCUGUGACAGAACUUAACCCCUUAAGGACACAUGACAUGUGUGACAUGUCAUGAUUCCCUUUUAUUCCAAAAGUUUGGUCCUUAAGGGGUUAAUUACAUCGGACCUUUAAACAAUGAAUCACACCUUCCAUGUAGGUUGAACUCACAUUAACCAGAAAUCCUGACUCGGAGUUUGCAGCUGAUGUAGUCUAGUCUAUUAGAAUUGUGCACAAAUCUGUUUAAGCUUCAUUGAAUUAACCCAAAUCCCAUUAAUUUCUGCCCAAAUGAAUUGAUGUGUCCAGGAUUUGGCUCUAGGCGUGGAUAAACAGGAAUUUGAUCAGUUCGAUGCAGCUGAAAUGGAUUUUGAAGCCCAGUGUCUAUCAGUGGGAUAAUGAGCUUUGUCUGGUGCCAACUCUCUCUCUCUAUACCUGCAAACCCAGAGAUGGAAUUUUGGAUUUAGUUCAUUUGAGUUUGAACAAGACAAGAGUUGUGAUUUAUUGUUUAAAUCCAUCACACUUGCACAAUGUUUGGUUUAUUUAUUUUACAGAUUUGCAGAUAUAGGAAAGUUGUUACAAGUUAGCAGCUCUACGCAAGCUUUGCUUUUGGUCCUUUUGCCUACAAUAAGUAUGCACAACAUAUUUCAUUGGGGCAACUUUAGAAUUUUUAUUUUUUAUAUAAAAUAUGUAUAUUUGUUCCAACCUGAAGUCCACCAGUUUUGCUGUGAGUACAUACAUUCCUGCAAACUAGCAGUGUCACACAAUUACAGCAUUUGGACCAUGAACAGUGAAAAUGGGAGUCAUGUCUAGGUUGGUCUUUUUUUUUUUUGUCAGGCAUAAAAGAUGGAUGGUUAGUUUAAUGAUUGGAUAGUUGGAUAGUUGGGAGACUGGGUACUUGGAUAGAUGGAUUGUUGGAUAGUUUGAUGACUGGAUAGUUGGAUGACUGCAUAGUGGAUAGAUGGGUGGUUGGAUAGAUGGAUAGUUGGAUAGAUGGGUGGUUGGAGAGAUGGAUGGUCCGAUAAUUGGAUAGAUGGAUUGUUGGAUAGUUUGAUGACUGGAUAGAUGGAUGGUCAGAUAGAUGGAUGGUCGGAUUGUUGGGUGACUGGAUAGUUGGAUGACUGGAUAGUUGGAUGACUGGGUAGUUGGAUAGAUGGAUGGUUGGAUAGUAGGAUGAAUGGAUAGUUGGAUAGAUGGGUGGUUGGAUAGUUGGAUAGAUGGAUUGUUGAAUAGUUUGAUGACUGGAUAGAUGGAUGGUCGGAUAGAUGGAUGGUCGGAUAGUUGGGUGACUGGAUAGUUGGAUAGAUGGGUGGUUGGAGAGAUGGAUGUUGGAUAGUAGGAUGACUGGAUAGUUGGAUAGUUGGAUAGAUGGAUUGUUGGAUAGUUUUAUGACUGGAUAGAUGGAUGGUCGGAUAGCUGGAUGGUCGGAUUGUUGGGUGACUGGAUAGUUGGAUGACUGGAUAGUUGGAUAGAUGGGUGGUUGGAUAGUUGGAUGACUGUAUACUUGGAUGACAUGAUAGUUGGAUAGAUGGAUGGUUGGAUAGAUGGGUGGUUGGAGAGAUGGAUGACUGGAUAGUUGGAUAGAUGGAUUGUUGGAUAGUUGUAUGAAUGGAUAGAUGGGUGGUUGGAUAGAUGGGUGGUCGGAUAGUUGGAUAGAUGGAUUGUUGGAUAGUUGGAUAGUUGGAUGGUUGGAUAGUUGGAUGACUGGACAGAUGGAUGGUUGGAUAGUUGUAUGAAUGGAUAGAUGGGUGGUUGGAUAGAUGGAUGGUCGGAUAGUUGGAUAGAUGGAUUGUUGGAUAGAUGGAUGGUUGGAUAGUUGGAUGACUGGAUAGAUGGAUGGUUGGAUAGAUGGAUGGAAACACAUUUGGAAAAUGAAAGGUUUGAUUAUCAGUAUAUCAAUAUAUAUAUUUUUGCUCCAGAUUGUCAGAAACAUGACAUUGAACACAUUGACAUUGAACAUGACUGUUCAAUGUAAUAUUGACACACCAGGCUUUCAGAACCACACAACUCUAAGGGAAGUUCUAAUCAUGGGAUUUGAGACCCUUCACAGCUUCAAGCUUGUUUUAUUUGCUGUUUUUUUUACUACCUAUAUAUUGACUUUAUCCGGGAACCUCAUC
Molecule: non-coding RNA, 2527 nt
Organism: Pelobates cultripes (western spadefoot toad)
Lineage: Eukaryota; Metazoa; Chordata; Amphibia; Anura; Pelobatidae
Source: the annotation of a GenBank genome assembly